GACGAACGCUGGCGGCGUGCUUAACACAUGCAAGUCGAACGGAAAGGCCCUGCUUUUGUGGGGUGCUCGAGUGGCGAACGGGUGAGUAACACGUGAGUAACCUGCCCUUGACUUUGGGAUAACUUCAGGAAACUGGGGCUAAUACCGGAUAGGAGCUCCUGCUGCAUGGUGGGGGUUGGAAAGUUUCGGCGGUUGGGGAUGGACUCGCGGCUUAUCAGCUUGUUGGUGGGGUAGUGGCUUACCAAGGCUUUGACGGGUAGCCGGCCUGAGAGGGUGACCGGCCACAAUGGGACUGAGAUACGGCCCAGACUCCUACGGGAGGGAGCAGUGGGGAAUAUUGCACAAUGGGCGGAAGCCUGAUGCAGCAACGCCGCGUGCGGGAUGACGGCCUUCGGGUUGUAAACCGCUUUCGCCUGUGACGAAGCGUGAGUGACGGUAAUGGGUAAAGAAGCACCGGCUAACUACGUG
Molecule: ribosomal RNA, 468 nt
Filed under: uncultured bacterium
Lineage: Bacteria
Description: partial 16S ribosomal RNA
Rfam family: Bacterial small subunit ribosomal RNA
Source: RNAcentral